UACGGAGGGAGCUAGCGUUGCUCGGAAUUACUGGGCGUAAAGGGCGCGUAGGCGGAUAUCUAAGUUGGGGGUGAAAUCCCGGGGCUCAACCUCGGAAUUGCCUUCAAAACUGGAUAUCUUGAGUUCGGGAGAGGUGAGUGGAACUCCGAGUGUAGAGGUGAAAUUCGUAGAUAUUCGGAAGAACACCAGUGGCGAAGGCGACUCACUGGCCCGAUACUGACGCUGAGGCGCGAAAGCGUGGGGAGCAAACAGG
Molecule: ribosomal RNA, 253 nt
Filed under: uncultured bacterium
Lineage: Bacteria
Description: partial 16S ribosomal RNA
Rfam family: Bacterial small subunit ribosomal RNA
Source: RNAcentral